CUACGGAGGGUGCAAGCGUUAAUCGGAAUUACUGGGCGUAAAGGGCGCGUAGGCGGUCUAUCAAGUCAGGUGUGAAAUCCCACGGCUCAACCGUGGAGGUGCAUCUGAAACUGAUAGACUUGAGUAUGGGAGAGGAAAGUGGAAUUCCCGGUGUAGAGGUGAAAUUCGUAGAUAUCGGAGGAACACCAGUGGCGAAGGCGACUUUCUGGACCAAUACUGACGCUGAGGCGCGAAAGCGUGGGGAGCAAACAGGAUUAGAUACCCUAGUAGUCC
RNAcentral lists this ribosomal RNA (273 nucleotides) under uncultured bacterium. RNAcentral's name for it is "partial 16S ribosomal RNA". It matches the Rfam family "Bacterial small subunit ribosomal RNA", at positions 523 to 796 of the family's 1533-position model. The record is from RNAcentral.